RNAcentral lists this long non-coding RNA (958 nucleotides) under Brassica napus (rape). RNAcentral describes it as "long non-coding RNA (BNAP_LNC018062)". The record is from RNAcentral. Lineage: Eukaryota; Viridiplantae; Streptophyta; Magnoliopsida; Brassicales; Brassicaceae.
AAAAAACAGACAUAUCUCAAUACCAUUUUAAUCUUACAAGAUGUACAGUAUAUAGAUGUUUGACUAUUUUUUUACCAUAUCUUCAGCUAAACGAAGCUUUCCUUUGCGGCUGGUGGUGUGAGGAAUCUGAUUUUUUCUAAUCUCUCUGUACUUGUUACUUAUUUCCUACAAUAUAAAUAUGAGUGUGAUUAAAUCUAUAAGACAUGACCUAUAAACAAGAAAGUUACUUAGUUGUAGAUAACUAACCGUGAAAGUUGUGGUAGUCUUGCUCUUAACCCAACAGUUCCACACUUGAAUGGAUGGGAUGUUGCUGGGUUUUAAAUCUAUUCUUUCAGCAGUAGUCUUUGCAGCACGUACUUGUGACACUAGCCUUGACUUCCCAGCCCUCCACAAAUUUGCCAGCUGCUUGAAAAUAACAGCUUUCUGUCACUCUUCUUGCAAGUUAAACCUCCCAUGCAUCACAAUAAGCAAAUGUCAAACAUGUUUAUAAUUUCAUCUUGCGGUUCAACAAAAAAUAUAUAUACGAUAGUGUUACCUGAAUUUCUUCCCACAUUGUUGCUUUAGUCGCUGCAUCAAGUAGUCUCCAAUCAGAAAGUGUUACCGGAACAUGUUCCCUCACAAGAGGACCAAGAAAAGACGAUAGUGUUAUUGUACCAGGUCCAAUAUGAUCACCAAAGUCAGUGAAUGUGACCGCAACCUUUUCAUUAGGAUUUUCAGCCACUCUACGCAUAUUUGUUGGUCCUCUUUUAUUUUUUUUCUUUCACUUCAUCCCCUGGUAGCUGAACUCCUUCAGUAUAAGGAAUCUCAUCAUCUUGAGCAUUGCUAACUCCAUCUUCUUCCAUAUUGAGAGCUUCUUCUUUGUUCUCUUUCUCAUUGAGAACUCCAUCUUCUACCAUAUUGUGAGCUUCUUCUUCAUCCUCUUUCUGUUCUUGUCCAGUCAAACAAGCUUCUUCAUCAU